GGCUUUAUAAAGAGUGCAUCUACUUAUAGCCUGUACAUUAUUCUGUUUAUCGUACUUCAACUCCAUGCUUCUUCAUGUUGAAUGAUGUGGCUGUUUCACUGUUUUUUUUUCUUUUUAGAUGAAGGAAUAGUAUGUAUCCUAGCCUAAACAAAAAGUAUCCGGCUGUUAUUACAAGAACAAAAGCGCACAAGUUUUGGGUGAACAGAUUAAAAGCAAAUACUAUUACUAAACCACCACCCAUUGUGUGCGAAGAUCUCCAUGGUUGUAGGCUCCAGUGCUUGACAAGCCCUUGGAAUAGAGUCUUAGAUUUCCUCGUUCUGAAACAGAGCCCAGAAC
Molecule: long non-coding RNA, 336 nt
Filed under: Setaria viridis
Lineage: Eukaryota; Viridiplantae; Streptophyta; Magnoliopsida; Poales; Poaceae
Description: long non-coding RNA (SVIR_LNC007297)
Source: RNAcentral